UGGAAGUAAAAGUCGUAACAAGGUUUCCGUAGGUGAACCUGCGGAAGGAUCAUUAAUGAUUAACUGUCUGUCGAGCUUGCUCACAGACUUAUCAUAUCCAUAACACCUGUGCACUUGUCGGAUGGCUUAGUGAAGACCGCAAGGUUGGAACUAUCCAUCUACUUUACAUAACAAUUUAGUAACAAAUGUAGUCUUAUUAUAACAUAAUAAAACUUUCAACAACGGAUCUCUUGGCUCUCGCAUCGAUGAAGAACGCAGCGAAAUGCGAUAAGUAAUGUGAAUUGCAGAAUUCAGUGAAUCAUCGAAUCUUUGAACGCACCUUGCGCUCCCUGGUAUUCCGGGGAGCAUGCCUGUUUGAGUGUCAUGAAAACCCUCAACCUUAGAUUGGUUAACACCUUUCUUUGGCUUGGAUUUGGACGUUUGCCGAUGAUAAGUCGGCUCGUCUUAAAAGUAAUAGCUGGAUCUGUCUCGCGACAUGGUUUGACUUGGCGUAAUAAGUAUUUCGCUAAGGACAUCUUCGGAUGGCCGCGUUGCAAGACUAAAGACCGCUUUCUAAUCCAUUGAUCUUCGGAUUAAUAUUCUUGACAUCUGGCCUCAAAUCAGGUAGGACUACCCGCUGAACUUAAGCAUAUCAAUAAGCGGAGGAAAAGAAACUAACAAGGAUUCCCCUAGUAACGGCGAGUGA
This 685-nucleotide unclassified non-coding RNA is filed under the name Naganishia albidosimilis. RNAcentral's name for it is "sequence contains 18S rRNA gene, ITS1, 5.8S rRNA gene, ITS2, 28S rRNA gene". The stretch from base 211 to 364 matches the Rfam family "5.8S ribosomal RNA". The record is from RNAcentral. Lineage: Eukaryota; Fungi; Basidiomycota; Tremellomycetes; Filobasidiales; Filobasidiaceae.